Molecule: ribosomal RNA, 253 nt
Filed under: uncultured bacterium
Lineage: Bacteria
Description: partial 16S ribosomal RNA
Rfam family: Bacterial small subunit ribosomal RNA
Source: RNAcentral
GACGAACCGUGCAAACGUUGUUCGGAUUCACUGGGCUUAAAGGGCGCGUAGGCGGGUUAUCAAGUCCGGGGUGAAAUCCUCUCGCUCAACGAGAGAACUGCCCCGGAUACUGAUGAUCUCGAGGGAGGUAGGGGCAUGUGGAACUUCCGGUGGAGCGGUGAAAUGCGUAGAUAUCGGAAGGAACGCCGGUGGCGAAAGCGACGUGCUGGACCUUUUCUGACGCUGAGGCGCGAAAGCCAGGGGAGCAAACGGG